GAUGAACGCUGGCGGCGUGCCUAACACAUGCAAGUCGAACGAAUUGCUUUAAAGGAAGUUUUCGGAUGGAAUUUAAAGUAGUUAGUGGCGGACGGGUGAGUAACGCGUGGGAAACCUGCCCUAUACAGGGGGAUAGCCUCGGGAAACUGGGAUUAAUACCCCAUAAAACUCUAGUAUCGCAUGAUACAUGAGCCAAAGAUUUAUCGGUAUAGGAUGGUCCCGCGUCUGAUUAGCUAGUUGGUGAGGUAACGGCUCACCAAGGCGACGAUCAGUAGCCGGCCUGAGAGGGUGAACGGCCACACUGGAACUGAGACACGGUCCAGACUCCUACGGGAGGCAGCAGUGGGAAUAUUGGACAAUGGAUGGAAAUCUGAUCCAGCCAUGCCGCGUGCAGGAAGACGGCCCUAUGGGUUGUAAACUGCUUUAUACGGGAGCAAUAAGGUCUAUGCAUAGAUUGAUGAGAGUACCGUAUGAAUAAGCAUCGGCUAACUCGUCG
Molecule: ribosomal RNA, 496 nt
Filed under: uncultured bacterium
Lineage: Bacteria
Description: bacterial SSU rRNA
Rfam family: Bacterial small subunit ribosomal RNA
Source: RNAcentral